RNAcentral lists this ribosomal RNA (161 nucleotides) under Cercospora violae. RNAcentral's name for it is "5.8S ribosomal RNA". The stretch from base 1 to 91 matches the Rfam family "5.8S ribosomal RNA", at positions 64 to 154 of the family's 154-position model. Rfam says of the family: 5.8S ribosomal RNA (5.8S rRNA) is a component of the large subunit of the eukaryotic ribosome. It is transcribed by RNA polymerase I as part of the 45S precursor that also contains 18S and 28S rRNA. Functionally, it is thought that 5.8S rRNA may be involved in ribosome translocation. RNAcentral also lists the same sequence under 1 other name. The record is from RNAcentral. Lineage: Eukaryota; Fungi; Ascomycota; Dothideomycetes; Mycosphaerellales; Mycosphaerellaceae.
AAUGUGAAUUGCAGAAUUCAGUGAAUCAUCGAAUCUUUGAACGCACAUUGCGCCCCUUGGUAUUCCGAGGGGCAUGCCUGUUCGAGCGUCAUUUCACCACUCAAGCCUCGCUUGGUAUUGGGCGCCGCGGUGUUCCGCGCGCCUCAAAGUCUCCGGCUGAG